UAACAAAAGAGAGAGUGCUCAUUUUGUUUCUUCAGCUGGGAAGGGCAAGAACAAGAAAAGAAAGAGGCCUUUUGCAAAGACUGUUGAAAAGGCUAUUGAGAAACCUGCUGCUGCUACUGCUGUAGAUCCAGUACAAAAGAAGCCUUAUGUGCCAAAAUGCUUCUUUUGUGGAAAGACGGAUCACUUGAGAAAGGACUGUCCUAAAUUUGCUAUUUGGCUUGCAAAGAGGGGUAAGUACCUUGUUUUAGUCUGUUGUGAAGUUAAUUUAACUUCAGCUCCUAAAAACACUUAUUGGAUGGAUUCUGGUGCUACCGCUCAUAUAAGUGUUUCAUUGCAGGGCUGCCUCAACUACAGAAAGCCAACUGACGGUGAAAGAUACGUCUAUGUGGGAAAUGGCGAUCUGGUUGAAGUAGAGGCAAUUGGACAUUUUAGAUUAUGUUUAAGUACUGGCUAUUUUUUGGAUCUUAUAGAUACUUUUGUUAUUCCCUCUUUUAGAAGGAAUUUGAUUUCUGUUUCCUUUUAAGGCCUUCUGCAAAGAUUGUUGAAAAGGCUAUUGAGAAACCUGCUGCUGCUACUGCUGUAGAUCCAGUACAAAAGAAGCCUUAUGUGCCAAAAUGCUUCUUUUGUGGAAAGACGGAUCACUUGAGAAAGGACUGUCCUAAAUUUGCUAUUUGGCUUGCAAAGAGGGGGCUGCCUCAACUACAGAAAGCCAACUGACGGUGAAAGAUACGUCUAUGUAGGAAAUGGCGAUCCGGUUGAAGUAGAGGCAAUUGGACAUUUUAGAUUAUGUUUAAGUACUGGCUAUUUUUUGGAUCUUAUAGAUACUUUUGUUAUUCCCUCUUUUAGAAGGAAUUUGAUUUCUGUUUCCUUUUUGGACAAAUCUGGUUUUCAUUGUUCUUUUGGAGACAGUAUAUUCACUUUAUCUAUGAAUUCAAAAGUUUUGGGUACUGGUUGCUUGAAUGAAUGUGAUAAUCUAUAUAUGUUAGACAUUGAUACUAGUUAUCAUGAAUCCCUGCAUGUUACUACAAGAGGUACCAAAAGAAAGUUGAAUAUUGAUAACUCAGCU
Molecule: long non-coding RNA, 1066 nt
Filed under: Jatropha curcas
Lineage: Eukaryota; Viridiplantae; Streptophyta; Magnoliopsida; Malpighiales; Euphorbiaceae
Description: long non-coding RNA (JCUR_LNC001378)
Source: RNAcentral